Molecule: ribosomal RNA, 446 nt
Filed under: uncultured bacterium
Lineage: Bacteria
Description: bacterial SSU rRNA
Rfam family: Bacterial small subunit ribosomal RNA
Source: RNAcentral
AACGCUGGCGGCGUGCCUAACACAUGCAAGUCGAACGAGAAAGCGGGGGCAACCCCGUGAGUAAAGUGGCGACCGGGUGAGUAACACGUGACUAACCUGCCCUUCAGUGGGGGAUAACCUCGGGAAACCGGGGCUAAUACCGCAUAACAUCUUGCGGGUGCAAUUCCUGCUGGAUCAAAGGAGCAAUUCGCUGAAGGAGGGGGUCGCGGCCGAUUAGCUAGUUGGUAGGGUAAUGGCCUACCAAGGCGACGAUCGGUAGCCGGCCUGAGAGGGCGCACGGCCACACUGGAACUGAAACACGGUCCAGACUCCUACGGGAGGCAGCAGUGGGGAAUUUUGCGCAAUGGGGGAAACCCUGACGCAGCAACGCCGCGUGGAGGAUGAAGUCCCUUGGGACGUAAACUCCUUUCGACCGGGACGAUAAUGACGGUACCGGUGGAAGAAGC